AAGCCGAAGGAGCUGAACUUG
RNAcentral lists this unclassified non-coding RNA (21 nucleotides) under Mus musculus (house mouse). Its description in RNAcentral is "oocyte_clustered_small_RNA9689". Lineage: Eukaryota; Metazoa; Chordata; Mammalia; Rodentia; Muridae. The record is from RNAcentral.